GGUUCACCGCUGCUCUGUUGGCUGCUCCAAGUCCGGCUGACAGGUCCGGCUGCUCCUCAUCUCCGCCUCGCCAGCCGGCAGCGCAGCCCCCGCCGCCUCCUCCCCCACUCUCCCGUCAGCAUGGUCCACGGCUCCCGGAUCUGAAGCAGCCGCACCGUGCUGCCGCGGUGCACAGCAGCAGGUUCCCAAGACAACCCUCGCCGUCCCUCUGACUGUCUCUCUCUCUGUGUGACUGAACCCAACACAACCCUCAUUCGCAGGUCGCAGCUAGCUAGGCAUCAGCGGCACCGGUCACCGGCGGCAGCGUACAUCACCGGCUGCAGCGUACAUCACCGCGCGCGGCAACGGACGCAGUACACACUCAUCCCCUUUUUUUAACUUCUCAAUUUCAUACAGUCUUGCAGGUCAGGAUGUCAAUGGACAGCUCGCUGGGCAUUGUGGGACUUGCCCGCUCUGACCACCACUUAUGUGGGAUUAUGUCAUAGUCCAGUUAACUUUUUUGUGGCGUAUGUAGUGUUCACAUAGUACCACGUAUUCACAGAGCAAACUGACACGAAUAUACUACUUACAAUAUAGUGCCAUUAGUAUGGGCCUAAUUAGUAACACCUCUGAUUAUUCAGUACAGAGCAAACAUAGUACAGGAAAUUGGCAACUCUAAAUCUCUAGAUUCAACAUUUAUCUACAACUUAGAUUAUCAAAGCUGAACCCAAUGGACAUGAUUAUGGCUAUCAAGAUGUAAUGGAGAGUGACCAAUCUGCAUCAAUGAGGUGUUUGAAGUCUGAACCUUUCAUCUACCUAGAAGGGAAUGGCAUGCAAUGAGGUGUCCGAAGUCUGAACCUUGCUCCAUAUCAUUUAGUUCUCAGGUUACUGCAACCUGAAUCUGCAUCAGUCCUCACCGUCUACUACUCCGACGACGUACGACAUCCACCGGUCCCAUCUUCCAAGUCCCAUAGGCUGCAUCGCAGCAGAGGGGGAGAGGCGAUGAGCGCUAGAGGAGCAGAGCAGAGGUACCGUGAAGUCGUUGCCGAAGGCCUCAUCUGAAUUAGCUCCGGCGACGACGACGUCGGCUUUGACGUCAGGCGCAACUGGGACGGCAGAUCUUGUCUCACCGGCUUUUCUGGGCUGUCCAUUUGUGCCAUUUAUUUUUGCUGGACGUCCACCAAGGCCAUUUGAUCUUUUUUUGCUGGGUGGCACAUGUGGGACUAGUGGGACCCAACGCCACUUACAUCCUGACUUGCAAGAAUGCCAGUAGUCGCGGUUGUUCUUCUCUUAGUUUCAUAAUGCUGCAUAAUACACAAGUUUUAACACAUCUAUCAACUAAGCCAAGUUUUAACCUUUGAGAGAAACUAUCAAAGGACCAUUGGGAUUUCAGGAUAAGAAAUGAGCAAGUAGCCUUGUACAAACGAAAAACAAGUUCCAACAGCACUUCUAAAUUUGAUUCGUGUUGCUGCAGCCACUCAACCCAAAGACCAAUCCACAAGGGAAAGUUUUUUUUGCAGCUAGCUAGGCCUUUAAUUUGUGGCUACCAGCAACCAAGAUUUAUCUAUCACAUCACAUUUGAUUCAUUGGUCCCUGCCUGGAUAUGUAAGAUUCUUGGAGCAGUAUAGAACUAAAGGGAUGCACAAAUGGGCAACCUUCAAAGCCUGUACAGAAGUUCAGUGACAUGAAUAUUCCUCUAUGCAUGAUUUUAUAAUUUGCUAUAUGCGUUUGAGAUUAGGCUUUUGUAUUUUCUUUUGAGAAAAAAGGGAAAAGCUAAGUAGCUAAUAAAUGGUAUAUUAGAAAGGAGUGGCCAGAGCACAUAUUUGUUAUUGUUAUGGAAAUACAAGUUUUGCCACUGUAAAUACAAAAGGAGUGGGCAGAGCACCUAUUCUGCAUGUGAAUUAUGUUUAGUCCCAGUUUGCAAGUUUUGCAUGUGGAUUAUGUUUGAUCCCAAUUUUCACUUUAUUGCAGGACAUGCAUUAGUUUGACGUCGAGACCGUUGUCGCGGAGCUUCUUGCUGGACGGAAGACCGGCACCGAACACGCUUCGAGGGUAAGAAUCAUUCGCCUCGUAGGAUUUAUGUAUAUGUAAAUCAUGUAGCUAGCUAGUCGCGUACCUAUGCGUCUCCCGUUCGAAAGAGUUACAUUAUUUAUAAAUAUGCAAUCUUUGUAUAUUUAUAAUAGUAACUCUUUCGAAUUGUCCAGCGUUUUCCACGGACAGCCCGAGGAUGUGUAGGCUGGCUUCAUUUUUAUGCUCUACUCCGAUCCGAUACAGGAUUUCGGCAGCGUCUUCCCAUUGUUCUCUGAAUGCACAUUCUCUCGGCUUGUUGCUGAGACGUGUAUUUGGAGAACAACGGGGAGGUGCUGCCGAAAUUCUGUGUGGAUCGGAGUAGUGCAUGAAAACGAAGCCACCUACACAUCCUCGGGUGGGAUUAGGACCUAUCCUUACCUAUUAGAUAGUUUGAGUUCAUGCCGUAAAACAUGAAUAAUUGUAAUUAAUUGAACUAAUACUGGAUGAAACUACUGUGUGGUAGGUGGAUCUUCACCUGGCCAAGCAAGUCCAGUGACACCCACUACGGUUCAUGUCGCUUCGACCUCCCCGCAACAAUGAUCACUAGUCGUCCAUGUUUGUCCAUUGUUGAUGCUUGCGUCUUCUCGUUGCUUGUGCUUCUCAACUUAAAACUUGUGCAUUGUUGAUGGUAGAGUCCACAAGCGUCGAUGCUUAUAUUGUACAUACUUCCUAGCUUCUAUUUGAGCCUUAUAUGUUGAUGCUUGUUAACUCUUUUUCCUUAUCCAUCUUUUCAACUUAUCUUUAGAAACUCAUGCGUGUGAUAAUGGACUUAUAGGUUUGCAUUGUGGAUGGCGUUGACGGUGGGCAUAUAUGCUGCGGUGGAGCUCAUUGGUUCAUGCUUGGUGUGAACUUGGAACUCAUGAUCCUUUAAUUUGUGAACCUCUGGUUGCAUAUGUAUGUAUGUUGUUGUGAACCUUCGUUGGAUAUGUAUGCACUGUGUGGACCUGAAACUUACGGUCCUUUCGUUUGUGAUCUUUUGUUGCAUACGUAUGCAUAUGUGGACUCUGCACUCAUGUACGGCUGGAUAUAUGUAUUACUUGAUAUAUGUUUGUUGGUCAUGGUCAUGUACUGCUGGAUACAUAUAUUUGUUGGAUAUAUGUGCUGCUGGAUAGAUGUACUACUAUAUAUAUGUUGUUGCUGCUCCCUGAAGUGAUAUAUGUGCUGCUGGAUAGAUGUACUAGUGUAUAUAUGUUGUUGCUGC
Molecule: long non-coding RNA, 3250 nt
Filed under: Triticum aestivum (bread wheat)
Lineage: Eukaryota; Viridiplantae; Streptophyta; Magnoliopsida; Poales; Poaceae
Description: long non-coding RNA (TAES_LNC016671)
Source: RNAcentral